UACGUAGGGGGCAAGCGUUGUCCGGAAUCAUUGGGCGUAAAGCGCGUGUAGGCGGCUCGAUAAGUCUGCUGUGAAAGUCCAGGGCUCAACCCUGGGAUGCCGGUGGAUACUGUCGAGCUCGAGUCCGGAAGAGGAGUGUGGAAUUCCUGGUGUAGCGGUGAAAUGCGCAGAUAUCAGGAGGAACACCAAUGGCGAAGGCAGCUCGCUGGGACGUGACUGACGCUGAGACGCGAAAGCGUGGGGAGCAAACAGG
RNAcentral lists this ribosomal RNA (253 nucleotides) under uncultured bacterium. RNAcentral describes it as "partial 16S ribosomal RNA". It matches the Rfam family "Bacterial small subunit ribosomal RNA", at positions 524 to 776 of the family's 1533-position model. The record is from RNAcentral.